UACGAAGGGUGCAAACGUUGCUCGGAAUUAUUGGGCGUAAAGCGCACGUAGGCGGCAUUGCAAGUCGGAUGUGAAAUCCCUCGGCUUAACCAAGGAAGUGCAUCCGAAACUGCAGUGCUUGAGUACUUAAGAGGAUCGCGGAAUUCCCGGUGUAGAGGUGAAAUUCGUAGAUAUCAGGAGGAACACCGGUGGCGAAGGCGGAUCUCUGGGCCAUUACUGACGCUGAGGAGCGAAAGCGUGGGGAGCGAACAGG
RNAcentral lists this ribosomal RNA (253 nucleotides) under uncultured bacterium. RNAcentral describes it as "partial 16S ribosomal RNA". It matches the Rfam family "Bacterial small subunit ribosomal RNA", at positions 524 to 776 of the family's 1533-position model. The record is from RNAcentral.